This 123-nucleotide small nucleolar RNA is filed under the name Arabidopsis thaliana (thale cress). RNAcentral's name for it is "Plant small nucleolar RNA R71". It matches the Rfam family "Plant small nucleolar RNA R71". From Rfam's summary of the family: R71 is a member of the C/D box family of snoRNAs containing the C (UGAUGA) and D (CUGA) box motifs. Multiple nearly identical copies of this snoRNA have been identified in Arabidopsis, and it is thought to function as a 2'-O-ribose methylation guide for 18S ribosomal RNA. The record is from Rfam by way of RNAcentral. Lineage: Eukaryota; Viridiplantae; Streptophyta; Magnoliopsida; Brassicales; Brassicaceae.
AAACUAUGAUGAGGACAAUCGCGUUCGUAGUCCUUGAAUCGUUCCCAUGCUUCAUAGAAGGAUUCGUCUGGUCGUUGUUGGAAUCCUUGUAGCUUGUUCCUCAAAAAGUUAGAUCUUGACUUU